RNAcentral lists this RNase P RNA (382 nucleotides) under Deltaproteobacteria bacterium. RNAcentral describes it as "RNase P RNA component class A". It matches the Rfam family "Bacterial RNase P class A". From Rfam's summary of the family: Ribonuclease P (RNase P) is a ubiquitous endoribonuclease, found in archaea, bacteria and eukarya as well as chloroplasts and mitochondria. Its best characterised activity is the generation of mature 5'-ends of tRNAs by cleaving the 5'-leader elements of precursor-tRNAs. Cellular RNase Ps are ribonucleoproteins. Lineage: Bacteria; Pseudomonadati; Myxococcota; Myxococcia. The record is from RNAcentral.
UAAGUAAAUUGCCUUAUCGCUUUGGUGCUGUCCCGAUAAUUAUCGGGAUUGUUUUAGCACUUGGGAGGAAAGUCCGAACACCAUAGUGCAUCAUAGUGGUUAACAGCCACCAAUCGUGAGAUUAGGAAAAGUGCAACAGAAAGAAUGUACAGGUUAAGCUGUAGUGAAAUCAGGUAAACUCUAUGUGGUGCAAUGCCAUGUAAACCAGCGUUUCGAUAGCUAUCGGGAGAGAGUGACACGCUCGAUGUUGGAGGGUAGGCAGCUAAAGUUUGCUGGUAACAGUAAACGUAGAUAAAUGAUAAGGAUGUUUUGAUUUCAAGAAGGAGAAAUCCUGAAAUGAAUUCAGGAUAUACAGAAUUCGGCUUAUAGAUUUGCUUAAUAA